Molecule: ribosomal RNA, 459 nt
Filed under: uncultured bacterium
Lineage: Bacteria
Description: partial 16S ribosomal RNA
Rfam family: Bacterial small subunit ribosomal RNA
Source: RNAcentral
CCUACGGGUGGCAGUAGUGAGGAAUAUUGGUCCAUGGGCGCGAGCCUGAACCAGCCAAGUCGCGUGAGGGAUGAAGGUUCUCUGGAUCGUAAACCUCUUUUAUAAGGGAGUAAAGUGUGGGACGUGUCCUCUUUUUUAUGUACCUUAUGAAUAAGGAUCGGCAAACUCCGUGCCAGCAGCCGCGGUAAUACGGAGGAUCCGAGCGUUGUCCGGAUUUCUUGGGUUUAAAGGGUGGACAGACGGAAUGUCAAGUCAGCGGUAAAAUUUUGGGGCCCAACCCCGGCGUGCAGUUGAAACUGGCGUUCUUGAGUGAGCGAGAAGUAGGCGGAAUUCGUGGUGUAGCGGUGAAAUGCAUAGAUAUCACGCAGAACUCCGAUGGCGAAGGCAGCAUACCGGCGCUCAACUGACGCUCAUGCACGAAAGCGUGGGUAUCGAACAGGAUUAGAUACCCGUGUAGUC